Molecule: ribosomal RNA, 441 nt
Filed under: uncultured bacterium
Lineage: Bacteria
Description: partial 16S ribosomal RNA
Rfam family: Bacterial small subunit ribosomal RNA
Source: RNAcentral
CCUACGGAAGGCAGCAGUGGGGAAUAUUGCACAAUGGGGGAAACCCUGAUGCAGCGACGCCGCGUGAGUGAAGAAGUAUUUCGGUAUGUAAAGCUCUAUCAGCAGGAACGAGACAAGACGGUACCUGACUAAGAAGCCCCGGCUAACUACGUGCCAGCAGCCGCGGUAAUACGUAGGGGGCAAGCGUUAUCCGGAAUCACUGGGUGUAAAGGGAGCGUAGACGGCUGAGCAAGCCUGAAGUGAAAGGCGGGGGCCCAACCCCUGGACUGCUUUGGGAACUGUACGGCUGGAGUGCAGGAGAGGUAAGUGGAAUUCCUAGUGUAGCGGUGAAAUGCGUAGAUAUUAGGAGGAACACCAGUGGCGAAGGCGACUUACUGGACUGUAACUGACGUUGAGGCUCGAAAGCGUGGGGAGCAAACAGGAUUAGAUACCCGAGUAGUC